Small nucleolar RNA from Dunckerocampus dactyliophorus (ringed pipefish), 92 nucleotides. RefSeq annotates it as small nucleolar SNORD12/SNORD106. Lineage: Eukaryota; Metazoa; Chordata; Actinopteri; Syngnathiformes; Syngnathidae. The transcript has a single exon. The record is from RefSeq and is a predicted model, not a curated record.
GGUGUGGUUAAUGAUGCAUUCUCUUUCCCCGACUUAUCGACUAUGGUGAUACAGCCUCUUACAAUAAGCCAAAUUUAAUCUGAAACCACACC